CAAUGAUGCCGUCCUUUCUACCCCAUGUCCCAAGCUCCCAGAGCAGUGCUUGGUAAAAAAAAAAGGGUACUUACUAAAAUGUUGGCUGAAUAAAAGGAAGACUUUGAAAAAUUAAGUUAUUUUGUACCCCUAUAGUGUGAAUUCUUUUUAUUGAAAUUUAAUACACUUACAGAAAAAAAUGUACAUAUUAUAAUUGUUCAUAGAGCUCAGUGAAUUUUCACAAACUGAACAAAUCUGUAAACCACACCCAGAUUGAGAAAGGGAACAUGACAAACACCCUGCAAGUCUCCCUUGUGCCCUGUGCUGGGGGGUGCCAACACCACCACCUCCUAGUCUGAUGAUGUACUAGGAGAUUCACAGACUCAGCCUGUAGUCAUACUCAUGGCUAUGUUUUACUACAGCGAAAGGCUAGGAAGCAAAAUCAGCAAAGGAAAAAAGCGCAUGGACAAAGUCCAGGGAAACCAGGUGUAAGCCUCCCACAGUCCUCUCCCAGCAGAGUCACAUAGGACACAAUUCCUCCAGCAAUCAGUUGUGACAACCCAUGUGCAAUGUUGUAUACAAGGGAAGCUCAUUACAGACUCAGUGUUCAGGGUUCUCAUUGGGAGCUGCUCACCUCAUCCUCUGCCUAACACAUAUGAAAAUCUGACUCCCAGAAGGAAAGCAGAUGUUGGGCAUAACCCACAUUGUUUGUACGAACAGUUUAGGCACAGUGAGCCACUCUUAUCAUUUAGGGAGUAAUGAGAACCCUCCUGAAAUCCAAGCUUUCAGAUGCCAGCCAAGGGCCAGCCUUGCAAACAGGCCUGCUUUCUCAUCUCUUUUCACACAGUCCAUCUCCUUAUUGAGGCUUCUUUACAGCAAAAUUAUUAUUAGUAGGACCACAUGCAAAAGGGUGAGACCAACCUCAAAUAUGGACCUCAGUUCUUCCUGGUAGGGGUCCUGGACUUAACCAGCUAAAAUAAAUCCCAUUAACCAUAAAGUCUAUCUUAGGAAGCCAGCUAAUUUUUUUAUUUUUGUAGGGACUACAGGUGCACACCACCACACCCAGCUAAUUUUUUUAUUUUUGUAUUUUUACUUUUCACCAUGUCGGUCAGGCUGGUCUCAAACUCCUGACCUCAGGUGAUCUGCCCACCUCAGCCUCCCAAAGUGCCGGGAUUACAGGCAUGAGCCACCGUGCCCAGCCCUUAAUUGCUGUCUGAACCUUUUUUUUUUUUUUCAACCUGACCUGAGGCAUCAAUUCAGGCACAGUAUAACUCUGACCAGUAAGCGGAAGCUAACCCAAAUGCUUUCCAGGGCUGAGGGGACAUCAUGAGAGUUGUGGUCAUGUACAGAAGCACAGUCCCAGGGGCACAGGUGGUACCCCUGUAAACAAAGAAUUUGCAAUAUUAGGGCACCUCAAGCAGGACAUCCAUUAGGCUGUACAGGUGAACAGACCUCCUACCAGGGGAACUCCUGCCCAAGUGUUUCCAGUCCCAUCUGAAAAGUUCCCAGAGUCCUUGGCUUCCAAGGGACUGCCUGAAGGCAGCACUGGGAAUUUUCCUUCAGCAAGAGGAGGCUUCCAGGGAUCAAGCCUCCCCAGGUGCCAGGCUUUAAUUAUUUUCUCCAAUAUUACAAAAACAGUCGUGCCCUGUUCAGCAAUCAUAACAUUGCAUUUUUUCAACCAUCUCUUACUCUCAGCUAGGCCUUUCCUCUGGAAGGGUUGUAUGUAAGAGGCACAAAAGCAUUUUUGUAGAUAAACUUUUUUUUUUUUUUUUUUGAGAUAUGGUCUGGCUCUGUUGCCCAGGCUAGAGUGCGGUGGCACGAUUUUGGCUCACUGCAACCUCCGC
RNAcentral lists this long non-coding RNA (1823 nucleotides) under Homo sapiens (human). Its description in RNAcentral is "HSALNT0228935". Lineage: Eukaryota; Metazoa; Chordata; Mammalia; Primates; Hominidae. The record is from RNAcentral.